AAUCCAUGUUGUGAGCAGCGUCGAAUCAAAUCUUUAUACCUUUCCCAUGCUUUAUAGAGUGAUUCAAAAUCAUUUUUCUUGAAUUGACCAAUUUCACUUUUGAGUUG
Small nucleolar RNA from Malania oleifera, 107 nucleotides. NCBI's taxonomy places the organism in Eukaryota, Viridiplantae, Streptophyta, Magnoliopsida, Santalales, Ximeniaceae. The record is from RefSeq and is a predicted model, not a curated record.